This 466-nucleotide ribosomal RNA is filed under the name uncultured Flavobacteriaceae bacterium. RNAcentral's name for it is "bacterial SSU rRNA". It matches the Rfam family "Bacterial small subunit ribosomal RNA", at positions 97 to 561 of the family's 1533-position model. Lineage: Bacteria; Pseudomonadati; Bacteroidota; Flavobacteriia; Flavobacteriales; Flavobacteriaceae. The record is from RNAcentral.
GGCGUACGGGUGCGUAACGCGUAUACAAUCUGCCUUUCACAUAGGGAUAGCCCGAAGAAAUUUGGAUUAAUACCUAAUGGCAUAUAGAUGUGGCAUCAUAUUUAUAUUAAAGCUCAGGCGGUGAAAGAUGAGUAUGCGUUCUAUUAGCUAGUUGGAGAGGUAACGGCUCCCCAAGGCGACGAUAGAUAGGGGUUCUGAGAGGGAUAUCCCCCACACUGGUACUGAGAUACGGACCAGACUCCUACGGGAGGCAGCAGUGAGGAAUAUUGGACAAUGGUCGGAAGACUGAUCCAGCCAUGCCGCGUGCAGGAAGACGGCCUUAUGGGUUGUAAACUGCUUUUGCAGGGGAAGAAUAAGGACUACGCGUAGUUUGAUGACGGUACUCUGCGAAUAAGCAUCGGCUAACUCCGUGCCAGCAGCCGCGGUAAUACGGAGGAUGCGAGCGUUAUCCGGAAUCAUUGGGUUU